This 729-nucleotide ribosomal RNA is filed under the name Triticum aestivum (bread wheat). Its description in RNAcentral is "partial small subunit ribosomal RNA". Lineage: Eukaryota; Viridiplantae; Streptophyta; Magnoliopsida; Poales; Poaceae. The record is from RNAcentral.
AUGGCCGAGUGGUGCUUGGGAUUUUUGCGGUUUGAGGAUGUUGAUCGGUUUCGGGUUGUAAAGCGGACUAAACAUGCAGCAGCAACAGGGCGAGCUGAAUCAUCUACCAGGGCAGUAGUUGGUCGAGGAGCUGCCUCAUCUUCCGUAGCAGAUGCUGAGGCCAGCGGUGAAGGAGUUGAGGUGGCUGCCCGGGAAGAUGUGGAGCGACCAUCACAAGCUGGCAGGAUAAGGGCAUCACCAAGGUGGUUUGAGAAGUUCAACAACUCGCUAUCCCCGCCGCAGAAGUCUGUGCUAGUCUCAAGGUUGUUUGGGGGCCUCUUGAACUUAUCAGAUACACUUUCAGGGGACUUCAGUAAAUUCUUGGUGCAGUUCUACCAGCCAGAGACCUCUGAAAUGGUGUUCCCGGGCAGGGGAAGGAUCUGUGUCGAUGCUGACAAUGUUCAAAGGGUAUUUGAUCUUACUAAUAGGGGUCAAAAAGUCAGAUAUGUAGUUGACAAGGAUGCAACUAGGAGAUUCAGAGAGGCUUUCAACGUACAUGGAGAUUCUCAUCCCCAAAUCACUACAUGGUGCAAGAUGAUUAAGGAUAUGGUGAAGCAAACUAUUUUCUGCUGCUUGUAUCACUUGAUGAUCUUAUACCUUGACGCACUCGUUCAUGACAUCCCAGUAAGUAACUGCGUGAUACGAGCGAAUGCAUGGGACAUUAACCUAAUUGCCAAGGUGAUCAAGUAG